This 70-nucleotide transfer RNA is filed under the name Loxodonta africana (African savanna elephant). It matches the Rfam family "tRNA". From Rfam's summary of the family: Transfer RNA (tRNA) molecules are approximately 80 nucleotides in length. Their secondary structure includes four short double-helical elements and three loops (D, anti-codon, and T loops). The record is from Rfam by way of RNAcentral. Lineage: Eukaryota; Metazoa; Chordata; Mammalia; Proboscidea; Elephantidae.
GUAUUUGUGGUUCAGUGGUAGAACUCUUGCCUUCUAUGCAAGAGACAUGGGUUUGAUUCCUGCCAAGGCA